Jatropha curcas is the source of this 1892-nucleotide RNA transcript. It is a transcript of the gene named transcription factor BOA, with no coding region annotated. Lineage: Eukaryota; Viridiplantae; Streptophyta; Magnoliopsida; Malpighiales; Euphorbiaceae. The record is from RefSeq and is a predicted model, not a curated record.
GAUCUGGAAUCAGAUAUUGCACUUUUUCUCUGAUAUCCCUUGCUAAAAGCGUAAAAAAAAAAAAAAAAACAAAAGAAAUACUAUUUUCCUUUCCUUUCCUUUCUUUUCCUGCAAACAGACCCCAGAAAAUAUCUCCGCAUUUGUCUCCGACUCUGAUCCAAUCUAAUCUGAAUUAAUCAAAUUUUGGAGACUUUACAGAGUGUAAAAAUUAUGGGAGAGGAGGUGAAGAUGAGUGAAUAUGAAGCCAACGGCGACAAUACCAACGUAGACGAAGAUAGAAUUGCAGAGUGGGAGAUUGGUUUACCUACUGCCGAUGACCUCACUCCUUUAUGUCAACCGUUGAUUCCGCCAGAGCUCGCUUCAGCUUUCAGUAUCUCGCUGGAACCUAAUAAAACGAUUCUUGACGUCAAUAGAGCUUCGCAAAAUACUCUCUCGAGUAUCCGUGGCGGUGCCGCCGCCGGCGCCGGAGGUGGACAGUUUAACGCGCUGUCCUCGAAUAACUUUAAGUCCUAUAAUGAAGACCGAGCACGUGAAUCGAUGGAGGCGGAGGCGGAGGAGAACAAUACGGAUCCGGAUGGUACGGGGUCCGAGUCGAGGAAGUUGAGGAGACUUGAUUCGGAAGAGGCAGAUUCGGCUCUGAAAACAGAGAAUUCCGGUGAUGAUCCGUCGGCGAGGACGCUGAAACGACCUCGUCUUGUUUGGACUCCGCAGCUGCAUAAAAGAUUCGUGGAUGUGGUGGCUUAUCUCGGGAUAAAAAACGCUGUACCUAAGACUAUCAUGCAGUUGAUGAACGUAGAAGGUUUGACCCGCGAGAAUGUCGCGAGUCAUCUGCAGAAGUACCGUCUUUAUUUGAAGAGGAUGCAGGGAUUGUCAAAUGAGGGACCCUCGUCUUCUGAUCAGUUAUUUGCUUCCACGCCUGUGCCGCAGAGUUUGCAUGAAAGUGGCGGUGGCAGUGUCGGUGGCGGAAGUAAUGGUGUAGGAAGUGGAGCUGCACCUGGGAAAGGCCACUUGGGAAUGCCUAUUCCUGUCCCGUAUCAUCCUGCGGCAGGACCUAUGAUGCCAAUGCCGGUUUAUGGACAUAUGGGAAUGCAAAUGGGCAAUAAUAAUCAUCAUCACCAUCAGCAACUCAAUCAUCACCAUCAGCAUGGGUUUGAUGGUAAUCUUCCAUAUAAUAUGUUACAGCAGAGAGAUUGGAGUGGGAAUAAUUAUGGCUCAGUUAUGUCUCACUCUCAUCAUCCUCACCGUGUUGUUCCUCCUAAUGAUAAUAUGUGAUAACAUAAAGAGUUCUUUUUGACACGCUCUAGGGACAGAGAGAAAGAGAAACGAAUAGUCCAGCCCUUGAUUGUAGUGAUAUCAAAUGAGAGGCUUGAAGUUUACCUGUUUUCCAACAGGGCCCUCUCACAGGUUUUAAGAUUCUGAAGAUUGAUUAAACCUUGUUAUUCAAAUUAACUCAUAAGGAAUGGCUGAAAAUUAGCGCAUUUCACAAACAUGAGAGGGUUUUGAGGAGGAAGUGUACGAAGAAUUCAGAUGUGAUGGGGGUUCUGCAACAAUCGUGAAAUCCUUCUCUCAGUAUAUACCCUGCUAGAGUUAUUAAAGGACAGCCAAAGGAUCAGGGCACAUCAGUUAUGGUUACUCCGGAUGAUGACAAGUCAGCAUACAUUCUUAACCUGUUCUUUAAUUGAUAAAUGUUUUCUUUUUUUGGCAAUAGAGAAAAAGUGAAUAAAAGGAACAUUAAGCAAAAUUCAGCUAUGACCUACAAUAUUGUCUACUGACUGUCAUUGUCUGUGUGUUCUUUUGGGAGUUGUCUUGAAACUGAAACUUAGUUUCAAACUUCUGUUCAAGCCAAAGCCUUCUCAUUCAGUUAUGCAUUUUAAAAUUUUAUACUUUCAAAA